UGAAGGGUCUCCUCGGGGACCCGCCAAAACCAUCAGCGGCUGAAGCUGGUCUUUCAGGAAAGGUCAAGCAGGACGCGGGAGGAGCCAGCAGUUUACGACUGUCCUGACCGGCCAGCUGGAACCCAGAGUCGGCUGGGGACAAAGGUGGCGGCUGUGUGGCCUUGGCCUGCUUCUUAACCUCUCGGAGCCUCCAUGUGGAAAACAGGAACAACUAAACAACACCCUUUGUAGGGUUGGGGAAAGAAGAACAGAGAGUCCAGGAGCAGCCCAUUCUUUGGGUAUGGCAAUGACAGUCCCAACGCACAGUACAUGACAACCACACAGGAGCCUGGCUCCUGGGCAUGGGAGGUUGUAGGCACCAACUCCCCAAAUCUUCCCAAGCCUAUGGGGUAGUUCUAUUACACCCCCAGUUUCCAGCAUAAAAACCCAGGCACAGAGAAGGGAAGACACUGGCCCAAGAGCACGCAGCAUGGUGCAGCUAGGUCUGGAGCCCCAGCCGAGUGUCCACGUGACCCCCUGGUUUUGCUAACUUUUCACAGCAGAGGGCACUGAGGACCUGGCAGGGCCUGUGGGACCCAGCUGGAUGACACCAGAGGAGAUGGAAACUCAGGGCCCCCUGCAGCGCCACGCGGGCCACCGUGGACCCAGCUCCCCUUUCAAACAGAAGCCGUCCAUACGUGCCCGCCCAGGGCUGCCGGAGCCUCAGCCCCUGUCCCCAGCAGAGCCACCUCCUUGCCCACAGCCCACGGCUGGGUCAUCGGUCCUGGAACCCAGAGAGCAUCCGCACUGCCCACCAGCAGCGCCACCUUGGGAGCGGAACAACAGGCCACUCGAGUCUGCAGGAGGCCAGAGGCCACCAGCCUGGAACCUCCAGGCGCAUCUCAGACUGGCAGCUGCCUGUGGCCGUGCCCUGGCCGGCGGCGAGUUGCCUCCAGCUCCCAGCACUUGUCCCGAGGAGCCGUCUGCCGCCUCUCCCCCGGGCGAAGCCCGAGCAGGCUGGCCUGGCGCUGUCCCGGGCUCACGGGGCCGGGGACGUGGCUGGGGUCCAGUCCGUGCAAGGACGAGGGAGCCAGACUGCGCUGACCCCAAGUGCUUCCAGGCUCCGUCCCUCACGCCUGGGAGCCAGCUCUCCAAGCCGGCCUCCACCUGCCCCGGCUGCCCUCACCCCACGACCCUGUGCCUGCACCUUGGCCUCCCCCUUCUCACCAGGGUGUUGCCCUCUUGCCCCCUCCACGCUGCGCCUGCACCUUGGCCUCCCUCUCGGGAGCCAGUCACCUCCCUGGCGGGUCCCUCCUGCCCCAACUCCCAGGGAGGCCGUGUGUGCGUGUCUGGCCUCUGGCUCCCUGGGGACCAGAAAAACAGAAUUCAUCAUCUGGCCGCCCUAUUUCCCUGUCUUCUCUUCUUCUUGCCUAAGAAUGGAGCAAGCAGUUCUCUGCCACCCUCAGGAAGAGCCUCAGAUAUGCCAGGCCACAGGCAAAGA
Molecule: non-coding RNA, 1480 nt
Organism: Marmota flaviventris (yellow-bellied marmot)
Lineage: Eukaryota; Metazoa; Chordata; Mammalia; Rodentia; Sciuridae
Source: RefSeq, a predicted model, not a curated record